Molecule: unclassified non-coding RNA, 1084 nt
Filed under: Hevea brasiliensis (rubber tree)
Lineage: Eukaryota; Viridiplantae; Streptophyta; Magnoliopsida; Malpighiales; Euphorbiaceae
Source: RNAcentral
AAAAUAAUAUUUUUAUAUGAUAAAUUAAAUAAUUAAUUAAUUGUAAAUAUUUAUAAAAAUAUUUAAAUAAAUCUAAAAUAAAUGAAGAUGUAAAAUUUUAAACUGACUAUAAAGUUAAGGGAUGACUAUGAUGAACCUAUUUAAGUUGAGGGACGAUGAGUGAAACUUAGCAAUAAGUUAAUCUAGAAACUUGUAAUAGCAGGUUACAUGGAUUUUAGUGAUACUCAUUGAAAUUCGAUGAUUUUUACGAUUCAAAUUAAAGUUGAAGGACAAUGCUGAUACAACCACCUUAAUUGAGGGACUAUGAGUGAAAUUAACCUGAGCACUGGAGGUGACAAUUUGUGGCCUAACUGGCAAUUUUGAUUGAAAUAUACCUGAAAUUUGAGGGUCAAAGUCAAACCCACCCUGUAUUGUGUCAAAAUAACCCAAAUCCAAAAUACCAAAAAAGGGUAUGACCAAACUGAACCUGACUUGCCCGAAAUAAUUAAAUUGUAAACUAAAAAUUGAAAAGGAAAACCACAAAAUUGAGAAAUAAAGAAAAACUGGUGCGAAAAGCAUGCAUAUUUUUUUUUUUCAAUUUGCAAUGUAUAUUUACAAUAGUCUUUAAAGUUAAACAUUUUUCAUAGAAAUUAUUAUAAAACAAUUAUCACUAAUUGUAGUAAGGUUUUCAAAAUAAAUAAUUUAAUUUUUAAAAUGUAUUUAUACAUUAUUCUAUUUACAACUUAAGGCUUUUCGGUAAGUAUUCGACCCGAUUUUGGCUCAUAUGUGCUCACCUCACAAACAAGUCAUUUAUGGACGAGGGCAUGUGUAUCUCAGUUUAACUUGUUUAACAAAUUGGUGAAACCACAGCCUAAAUUUAAAGCUUGUUUCAUAAAUGGAAAAAGAUCAGCUAUGCUCCUCAUUUAACCCUACUACCAAGAGUUUAAUAUAAAGCUGAGUUAUUUCUUUUUGCGAGGUUAGAAAACUGCAUGAAUUUUAAAUCUUCUCGUUUAUUUCUAUAAUUUUGAGCUUUCAGCUACCUUCCUUUUGAGUAUGUUAUUAGAUAGAGCACUAAAUAUUUAUAAUUCUACCCAGCUUGAUAAAU